CAAGCGGUGGAGCAUGUGGUUUAAUUCGAUGCAACGCGAAGAACCUUACCUGGUCUUGACAUCCACGGAAGUUUUCAAAAAUGAUAAUGUUCCUUCCGGAACCGUGAGACAGGUGCUGCAUGGCUGUCCUCCGCUCGUGUUGUGAAAUGUUGGGUUAAGUCCCGCAACGAGCGCAACCCUUAUCUUUUGUUGCCUGCGGUCCGGCCGGGAACUCAAAGGAGACUGCCAGUGAUAUAACUGGAGGAGGGUGGGGAUGACGUCAAGUCAUCAUGGUCUUUUACGACCAGGGCUACACACGUGCUACAAUGGCGCAUACACCGAUACACGACCUCGCGAGAGCAAUCGCACAUCAUAAAGUGCGUCUCUAGACCGGAUUGGAGUCUGCCACUCCACUCCAUGAAGUCUGAAUCUCUAGUAAUCGUGGAUCACAAUGCCACGGUGAAUACUUUCCCGGGUCUUGUACACACC
RNAcentral lists this ribosomal RNA (468 nucleotides) under uncultured bacterium. RNAcentral's name for it is "bacterial SSU rRNA". It matches the Rfam family "Bacterial small subunit ribosomal RNA", at positions 926 to 1391 of the family's 1533-position model. The record is from RNAcentral.